ACAAUAUUCGGACCGUCGGUCUAUCGAGAAAUAUCAUCUGCUCCAUGGAAGAUCUUCUCUUCGUCGU
This 67-nucleotide microRNA precursor is filed under the name Bombyx mori (domestic silkworm). RNAcentral's name for it is "mir-2774 microRNA precursor family". It matches the Rfam family "mir-2774 microRNA precursor family". Lineage: Eukaryota; Metazoa; Arthropoda; Insecta; Lepidoptera; Bombycidae. The record is from Rfam by way of RNAcentral.